GAUUAGAUACCCUGGUAGUCCACGCCGUAAACGAUGUCGACUUGGAGGUUGUGCCCUUGAGGCGUGGCUUCCGGAGCUAACGCGUUAAGUCGACCGCCUGGGGAGUACGGCCGCAAGGUUAAAACUCAAAUGAAUUGACGGGGGCCCGCACAAGCGGUGGAGCAUGUGGUUUAAUUCGAUGCAACGCGAAGCACCUUACCUGGUCUUGACAUCCACAGAACUUUCCAGAGAUGGAUUGGUGCCUUCGGGAACUGUGAGACAGGUGCUGCAUGGCUGUCGUCAGCUCGUGUUGUGAAAUGUUGGGUUAAGUCCCGCAACGAGCGCAACCCUUAUCCUUUGUUGCCAGCGGUCCGGCCGGGAACUCAAAGGAGACUGCCAGUGAUAAACUGGAGGAAGGUGGGGAUGACGUCAAGUCAUCAUGGCCCUUACGACCAGGGCUACACACGUGCUACAAUGGCGCAUACAAAGAGAAGCAAUCUCGCGAGAGCUAGCGGACCUCAUAAAGUGCGUCGUAGUCCGGAUUGGAGUCUGCAACUCGGCUCCAUGAAGUCGGAAUCGCUAGUAAUCGUGAAUCAGAAUGCCACGGUGAAUACGUUCCCGGGCCUUGUACACACCGCCCGUCACACCAUGGGAGUGGGUUGCAAAAGAAGUAGGUAGCUUAACCUCCGGGAGGGCGCUUACCACUUUGUGAUUCAUGACUGGGGUGAAGUCGUAACAAGG
Molecule: ribosomal RNA, 720 nt
Filed under: uncultured bacterium
Lineage: Bacteria
Description: bacterial SSU rRNA
Rfam family: Bacterial small subunit ribosomal RNA
Source: RNAcentral